This 314-nucleotide ribosomal RNA is filed under the name Glossodoris cincta. RNAcentral describes it as "partial 16S ribosomal RNA". It matches the Rfam family "Archaeal large subunit ribosomal RNA", at positions 2025 to 2613 of the family's 2987-position model. The record is from RNAcentral. Lineage: Eukaryota; Metazoa; Mollusca; Gastropoda; Nudibranchia; Chromodorididae.
UUGCUAAGGUAGCGCAAUCAAUUGGCUCUUAAUUGGGGUCAGGUAUGAAUGGAGUAACGGAGUUCAGCUGUCUCAAGAUUAAUAGUUUGAAGUUACUAUUUAGGUGAAAAAGCCUAAAAUUAGAAAAGGGACGAGAAGACCCUUAGAGUUUUACUUCAAAAUAUAAGUUAGGUAUUUUUAAUGGUUUAGUUGGGGCAACAUAGGAGCAUAAUCUCCUUACAAUUAACCGAUUAUUUUAAAUUUGGAUAAACUACCUUAGGGAUAACAGCAUAAUUUAUUAAAUAAGUUUGUGACCUCGAUGUUGGACUAGGAAA